This 41-nucleotide ribosomal RNA is filed under the name uncultured fungus. RNAcentral's name for it is "partial 18S ribosomal RNA". The record is from RNAcentral. Lineage: Eukaryota; Fungi.
GAAAGGGAUGCAUGUAUCGCGAAGUUUAAGAGCUGCGAGUA